UACGGAGGGGGCUAGCGUUGUUCGGAAUUACUGGGCGUAAAGCGCGCGUAGGCGGCUUUGUAAGUUAGAGGUGAAAGCCCAGGGCUCAACCCUGGAAUUGCCUUUAAGACUGCAUCGCUUGAACAUCGGAGAGGUAAGUGGAAUUCCGAGUGUAGAGGUGAAAUUCGUAGAUAUUCGGAAGAACACCAGCGGCGAAGGCGACUUACUGGACGAUUGUUGACGCUGAGGUGCGAAAGCGUGGGGAGCAAACAGG
RNAcentral lists this ribosomal RNA (253 nucleotides) under uncultured bacterium. RNAcentral's name for it is "partial 16S ribosomal RNA". It matches the Rfam family "Bacterial small subunit ribosomal RNA", at positions 524 to 776 of the family's 1533-position model. The record is from RNAcentral.